RNAcentral lists this unclassified non-coding RNA (299 nucleotides) under Hevea brasiliensis (rubber tree). The record is from RNAcentral. Lineage: Eukaryota; Viridiplantae; Streptophyta; Magnoliopsida; Malpighiales; Euphorbiaceae.
AUUGAUAUUUUCCCCCUUUCUCAGUUUUUCGCUCCUAAUUCAUACUUGCACUUCCCUCUGCAACAACUAGCUACCACUCGCACAAAUCCUAAAACUCUCUAGCUCCUUACAAUGACUCUCUCCCUCUGCUGCGCCAAAUCCCUUAUCUUUCUCUUCAUCCUCUCAGCCAUCCCCGUCGCCUUUAUCAUCUCUCUUGAGCUGGCCAAGCCCAACACCCAUGUCUUCUACUAUCACAGUUCCGGCUUCUUCCGCGAGUGCGCCAAGUGGGACGAUCUUAACCGUCGAUUUAUCGUCUCCUU